RNAcentral lists this unclassified non-coding RNA (241 nucleotides) under plant metagenome. Its description in RNAcentral is "partial contains small subunit ribosomal RNA, internal transcribed spacer 1, and 5.8S ribosomal RNA". The record is from RNAcentral.
UUUCCGUAGGUGAACCUGCGGAAGGAUCAUUAAAGAGUAAGGGUCUUCGGGCCCGAUCUCCAACCCUUUGUUUAACUACCAUGUUGCUUUGGCGGGCCCGUCUCACGACCGGCGGAAGUUUGGCUUUGACCAAACUUCUGGCCCGUGCCCGUCAGUGGCCCCUUCAAAUUCUUGAUCAAGUAUGAUGUCUUAGUUAAAAACUUAAUAGUUAAAACUUUCAACAACGGAUCUCUUGGUUCUG